UGGGGAAUAUUGCGCAAUGGGGGAAACCCUGACGCAGCCAUGCCGCGUGAGUGAAGAAGGUCUUCGGAUCGUAAAGCUCUUUCAACGGUGAAGAUGAUGACGGUAGCCGUAGAAGAAGCCCCGGCUAACUUCGUGCCAGCAGCCGCGGUAAUACGAAGGGGGCAAGCGUUGUUCGGAAUUACUGGGCGUAAAGGGCGUGUAGGCGGCCAAUUAAGUCAGAGGUGAAAUCCCCGAGCUCAACUUGGGAACUGCCUUUGAUACUGGUUGGCUAGAGUUCGGGAGAGGGUAGUGGAAUUCCCAGUGUAGAGGUGAAAUUCGUAGAUAUUGGGAAGAACACCAGUGGCGAAGGCGGCUACCUGGACCGAUACUGACGCUGAGGCGCGAAAGCGUGGGGA
This 395-nucleotide ribosomal RNA is filed under the name uncultured bacterium. Its description in RNAcentral is "bacterial SSU rRNA". It matches the Rfam family "Bacterial small subunit ribosomal RNA", at positions 355 to 767 of the family's 1533-position model. The record is from RNAcentral.